GAUGAAGAACGCAGCAAAAUGCGAUAAGUAAUGUGAAUUGCAGAAUUCAGUGAAUCAUCGAAUCUUUGAACGCACAUUGCGCCCGCCAGUAUUCUGGCGGGCAUGCCUGUUCGAGCGUCAUUUCAACCCUCAAGCACAGCUUGGUGUUGGGACUCGCGUUAAUUCGCGUUCCCCAAAUUGAUUGGCGGUCACGUCGAGCUUCCAUAGCGUAGUAGUAAAACCCUCGUUACUGGUAAUCGUCGCGGCCACGCCGUUAAACCCCAACUUCUGAAUGCUGACCUCGGAUCAGGUAGGAAUACCCGCUGAACUUAAGCAUAUCAAUAAGCGGAGGA
RNAcentral lists this unclassified non-coding RNA (332 nucleotides) under soil metagenome. RNAcentral's name for it is "partial contains 5.8S ribosomal RNA, internal transcribed spacer 2, and large subunit ribosomal RNA". The stretch from base 1 to 120 matches the Rfam family "5.8S ribosomal RNA", at positions 35 to 154 of the family's 154-position model. The record is from RNAcentral.